CCCAUUCGGCCUCUCCAUUCCCCAAUCAGUCUCUUUCCCCUCCUGGGCUGGCUCUAGCCUGUCUCACUCCUCCUCCACGCGCCGCCGCGCGCAUCCUCCUCCGCCCGACGCCGCGCGCUCCUCCACCAGCCGCGAGGGGGCUCGCCGGCCGCCGCAAGGGGGACCCACCACGAGGGGGCUCGCUGGCCGCCGUGAGGGGAACCCGCCCCGGCCGUCGUCCUCCUCCUUCACCCGGCCCCGCUUGCUCCGGCCGUCCCCGCCCCCGCCGACCACCACGGCCUCCAUCCCGGCGGCAUCUGCUGCUGCGGCCGCCGCGGAAUCUCCGAGUGGCGUCGGCGAUGCAAACGAAUGCGCUCAGAGGCUACGAGAGAGGCGAGGCUGCUCUUUCUGCCCGAGGGCCGGCAAGCAGGUGGCUGCCAGGGCGCUCUCCUGCUAGAGAGUCCAUGAUGGCGCAGCACUGCUUGCCCGUCACCCAUCCGGUGGCCCGGCUUCGAAAAAUUCUCCGCCGAGCAGUGACCUCCUCGAUUCCACCGACCCAGCCAUGGACUUGGGAUGAGAGCGCGCUUGCCCGUGGCGCCUACACACCAUGCGCUCAACCUCCCCCACAUUCUCCGCCACCACAGUUGUUUCAUCUAUCUAAGCUCCCCCUUAGUCCAGGAAAUGAUGCUGGAGAACGGUGUUCAGGAGCACGCAUGCAAGUUACUCGACGAAAUGCCACUGCUGGUUACUGCUAAGGGUGCGUUGGAGCUCCUCCUGGACGUGCACAUGCGGAACCAGGAGAUAUAUGGAUGGAGCCCGGGCAAAGUUCAUGGCAGCUCUCCGUUCCACCAUAAGUUGAACACAAAGAAUUAGAGUGACAGGCAGAUAAUUUGAAUGAAAGCUGAAACAAUAUCGUGUUGUGCCAUUCCACGUGCUAUAUCUCAAGUAUUUAGGAUCAGAAAAAUAUCGCUAAGGUGACUCUGAA
Panicum virgatum (switchgrass) is the source of this 964-nucleotide long non-coding RNA. RefSeq lists it as uncharacterized. The transcript is spliced from 2 exons. Lineage: Eukaryota; Viridiplantae; Streptophyta; Magnoliopsida; Poales; Poaceae. The record is from RefSeq and is a predicted model, not a curated record.